GGAUAUGUAAGCAUAAUAUGGUGCUUCACCUAAGCUAUGUAAGUUGAGGAUUUCUUGAAGAACAGUGCAACAUGUCAAGGAGUGAACAAAAAGCAGUGAUCAACUGAGCAAACAUAACAACUUGAAUGAAAGUUAUCAGGUGAGAACAACCACCAGUAAUCAACAACCAGAAUGUUUUCAGGAGUAAGAACCAUUAUCAGUUUAAAUAACUGAAUUCCAUCGUAGUAUGUACAUGUAUCUUAUCUGACUAGAUCAAUUUGCUAUGCUCUGGGUGUGCUUAUGAAUCCAGAUGAUUUUUUCAGGAGUUCAUGUGCUUCUACAGGCUUGUCUCUGGAAUUUCUAUAAUUCUUUUCUUGUUUCGAAGUGGUAGAUCGAUGUAUGUGUGCAGG
This 389-nucleotide long non-coding RNA is filed under the name Hordeum vulgare. Its description in RNAcentral is "long non-coding RNA (HVUL_LNC007593)". The record is from RNAcentral. Lineage: Eukaryota; Viridiplantae; Streptophyta; Magnoliopsida; Poales; Poaceae.